Molecule: long non-coding RNA, 301 nt
Filed under: Mustela putorius furo (domestic ferret)
Lineage: Eukaryota; Metazoa; Chordata; Mammalia; Carnivora; Mustelidae
Description: lncRNA (ENSMPUG00000027496.1)
Source: RNAcentral
GGGGGAAGCGCUGGCUCAGCAGAAGUGUUAUAGCUGUCAUUGAUUUACGGAGACAUCAAAAAGAAAUGAAGGGAGACCAAGGACUGAAAACAGCAGUCAUUUCAAUUUUGCUCUAGACACUGUUUCUCUCAAGCUGGAUUUGAAGAAGGAAUCAGCCAUUUUGGGAGGUCCAUGUGACGAGAAGCUGGUGGAAGCUACUAGGAAGUUCUAGGAGGGCAGCUUCCAGUAGACAACCUGUAUGAGGCCAGGGCAUUAGUUCCUAUCGCAAGAAAAUGAAUUCCAUCAACAUGUGUGUAGUCUG